AGAGUUUGAUCCUGGCUCAGGAUAAACGCUGGCGGUAUGCUUAACACAUGCAAGUUGGACGAGUUUAAAUUUUUCUAAAUUUAAACUAAGUAGCGGACGGGUGAGUAACAUGUAGGAACCUACCUUUAGGAGAGGGAUAACCAUUGGAAACGAUGGCUAAUACCUCAUAAACUGUGGAGUAAAAAGUGAAUAAAACUGCCUAAAGAGGGGCUUGCAUCUGAUUAGCUUGUUGGUAAAUUAAUAGUUUCCCAAGGCAACGAUCAGUAGUUGGUCUAAGAGGAUGAUCAACCACACUGGGACUGAGACACGGCCCAGACCUCUACGGAGGGCAGCAGUGAGGAAUUUUCCGCAAUGGGCGAAAGCCUGACGGAGCAAUACCGCGUGGAGGAUGAGGGCUUGUGAGUCGUAAACUCCUUUUCUUUGUGAAGAGACAAGACGGUAACAAAGGAAUAAGCAUCGGCUAAUUCCGUGCCAGCAGCCGCGGUAAUACGGGAGAUGCAAGCGUUAUCCGGAAUUAUUGGGCGUAAAGAGUCUGUAGGUGGCUUUUUAAGUCUGCUGUUAAAUCUUAAGCUUACCUUGAGAAAGCGGUAUGAAACUAGAAGCUUGAGUUAGUAGAGUAAAGGAUUCUCGUGUAGUGGUGAAUGCGUA
This 648-nucleotide ribosomal RNA is filed under the name uncultured bacterium. Its description in RNAcentral is "bacterial SSU rRNA". It matches the Rfam family "Bacterial small subunit ribosomal RNA", at positions 8 to 692 of the family's 1533-position model. The record is from RNAcentral.